Molecule: ribosomal RNA, 923 nt
Filed under: Pseudarthrobacter sp.
Lineage: Bacteria; Bacillati; Actinomycetota; Actinomycetes; Micrococcales; Micrococcaceae
Description: bacterial SSU rRNA
Rfam family: Bacterial small subunit ribosomal RNA
Source: RNAcentral
AAGAGCUCGUAGGCGGUUUGUCGCGUCUGCCGUGAAAGUCCGGGGCUCAACUCCGGAUCUGCGGUGGGUACGGGCAGACUAGAGUGAUGUAGGGGAGACUGGAAUUCCUGGUGUAGCGGUGAAAUGCGCAGAUAUCAGGAGGAACACCGAUGGCGAAGGCAGGUCUCUGGGCAUUAACUGACGCUGAGGAGCGAAAGCAUGGGGAGCGAACAGGAUUAGAUACCCUGGUAGUCCAUGCCGUAAACGUUGGGCACUAGGUGUGGGGGACAUUCCACGUUUUCCGCGCCGUAGCUAACGCAUUAAGUGCCCCGCCUGGGGAGUACGGCCGCAAGGCUAAAACUCAAAGGAAUUGACGGGGGCCCGCACAAGCGGCGGAGCAUGCGGAUUAAUUCGAUGCAACGCGAAGAACCUUACCAAGGCUUGACAUGAACCGGAAACACCUGGAAACAGGUGCCCCGCUUGCGGUCGGUUUACAGGUGGUGCAUGGUUGUCGUCAGCUCGUGUCGUGAGAUGUUGGGUUAAGUCCCGCAACGAGCGCAACCCUCGUUCUAUGUUGCCAGCGCGUUAUGGCGGGGACUCAUAGGAGACUGCCGGGGUCAACUCGGAGGAAGGUGGGGACGACGUCAAAUCAUCAUGCCCCUUAUGUCUUGGGCUUCACGCAUGCUACAAUGGCCGGUACAAAGGGUUGCGAUACUGUGAGGUGGAGCUAAUCCCAAAAAGCCGGUCUCAGUUCGGAUUGGGGUCUGCAACUCGACCCCAUGAAGUCGGAGUCGCUAGUAAUCGCAGAUCAGCAACGCUGCGGUGAAUACGUUCCCGGGCCUUGUACACACCGCCCGUCAAGUCACGAAAGUUGGUAACACCCGAAGCCGGUGGCCUAACCCCUUGUGGGAGGGAGCUGUCGAAGUGGGACUGGCGAUUGGGAC